CACAUAAUAUAUAAUAUGUGAUAAACAAUGUGCGUACCUAGCUAACAUUACUGACCUUUACUGAUCGAAAAACGGUUCAACUAAACUUGUCAAAACUAUAAACGAUUUGAAAGGCUCUUUUUAGUCUUUUUAUACUUUCGUCCGUCCACGUACGUGUAUAACUAUAUACAAAUAUAAUUGCCCAACCUAGGUAAUUGACCGUUAUAUAAUAUCAGCAAUGACUGUGGUUUAGGAGACAAAAAUCAUUUUGCAACCAUUAUACGUAGCAUAGUGACUCAUCUAUCAUAAUAUUAUACUAUACACUCGUAUUAUGCCAGAGAAAUAUUAAUCAUAAUGGUGUAAUAUACCCCGAUAAUCGUUAUCGUUUUCGGCAUUAUAAUGUUAUAUUUAUACUCAUUAAUCAUAACUAUACGAAUAACGAUAACCACGGUUUUGUUGUUGAAGUAUCAAUCUGCGUGUGCAUACUGAUUACACACUAUAAUAAGACGAAAAUACGAAUAUUAUGAGUUAUGACGAAAUGUCUACAGCACACCGGCGCGGCUGGUUAAUGUCACCUGCAGCCUGCAGGUCAUACGCAUUGUAUGUACCUACCGCGGCAUUAUUAUAUUUUGUUGCGAUGCGUGCGACGACGAUGACACACGCCCUGCACUAUAUAAUAUUUUAGUAUAUAUGGUACUGUGUGUUGACACAUCGUACGGAUUAUAAGAAGAAAAAAAGGGUACAGACAAAAGCAGGCGGCCACGUGGAGUGAAACGAACGGAUCGUGCUGCGGUAUACAAAAUAUUAAAUAUAUGACGUAUUAUGACGUGCAUAUACAAUAUAUAGUUCCACGAAGAGACAGCCAUUAUUCCAGUUUAUCUCGAUCAAGAUGAUAUAAUACAUAUUACUGAAUUCACAGCCUUAUGAAGAGUUGGGAAAAGUUUUUUGUCAUUUUAUUGGUUCGCGACGGUGAUUUUUCUCCUAAUAAUAUUACAUCGAUAUACAACGGUACACACUUACAGGUGGAGAGAGUUUUUAAAAAUCGAUUUUCAAGUCAAUUCAAAUCUUACCAUUUAGCCCGUUUUGAAAAAUCCCAAGACAUGUCGGCAGAAACAUCGAAGUGCCAUUACAACGGACAGGAAGUACAACGGAAAGCAGAAAGAAUCGGCUCCAUGUGAUGCAUACAAGUUAAAUUUAUUGCUACGGUGGAGACUGCUCGAAAAAGACUGACGAAAGACGACUCGACGUCGGUGGUGCGGUGAAGUCGAAACGAAAAACGCAGACAAAUAAUAAACAUACGCGUGCGCCGAGCUCGUAUUUACAACAUAAUCGUUAAUUUUUGGACACCGUACCUCAAUAUUAUACUGUAACAUUCCAAUUGAUAAAGAAAAAUGAAAAAUAAACAAACAGUAAAGGUGACCAAAACCAUAAGCAUUCUCAAGGUAGCCGACCGGACAUCGAAAAACCCAGUGCAUCACUAUCGCGGGGACACACAUAUACCGCCCAUACCGCAACGACGAUAAACAGUUUUGGGAAGAUUGGAAGAACUGUUCGCCGACAGAAGAGAAGGAUUGAUUAUUUUUUAUUCCGAUGGAUUUUAGACUUGGACGUAAAAUACGCGUAAAUAUAUUAUUAUAGUAACAUGUGAUACUGUUAUUAUUAUCAUCUGAAUACGACCUCGUUAACUCCACGGGCUGCUGAGAGACCAGUACAAUGAUAUUGUACACGCAACCUUCCGACGACGCUAUGUGAUUGAGUGAUUCAUCCAAUCAUUGGAAAUUUCCAGGCAUCACUCGUAUAAAUUAUUACAAUUAUUUGUACACGAGGACAAUAUAAUAUAGUAUAAUAUAGGUACAGGAUGAUUAACUAAGAAUGUUCAUCCCCUUUUUUCUUGAGGAUUCUUCACGAUGAUGUAGUUAUUCAAAUUUCAAAGUCUGAUAUUUAGAAUUUGAAAACACAAUAUAAUAUUUUAGCAUAUUUUCAAACUCACCUAACCACUUAAUGAAUUUAUUGUAGAAAUUCAAGCUUCAGUUUUUCUAAUAACUCCUUCCCCUUUUUUGAGACUGUAAAUUAUAUAUAAUGUAUUGAUUAUGUAUUACAUCGACAUUUUCAAAAAAACUUUACUCACUAAAUAUUUAUUACGGUAAAAAUGGAAGUUCUCAAGUGGAAAAACAUUUAUUGAUCUCUUUGUGUAAAACAAAAACUGAAUACAGUUUACAAACAACACUCAAAUAUGGAUACAUAACCCAUUCUAAUAAGAUACACAUUCACAACACACAAUCACGUUAUGGCCAAAAACGAUCCAUCUAUAAAUAAAUCCUGCACAGUGGAUAUUAUCCGUUAAGCAUAUCGAAUAGGGUAUCAAAAAUAUGAAGGUAUGGGAAACAAACAACAAAUAGGAGAAUUAUUGCAAACGAACUUUUAAUCUAACAUAAAUAUUAUCAAUUUCUUAAAAGAAAUUAAACUGUAGGUACAAGUGUACAACUGAAUUCGAGUUAAGAUU
Long non-coding RNA from Myzus persicae (green peach aphid), 2482 nucleotides. RefSeq lists it as uncharacterized. The record is from RefSeq and is a predicted model, not a curated record. The transcript is spliced from 6 exons. NCBI's taxonomy places the organism in Eukaryota, Metazoa, Arthropoda, Insecta, Hemiptera, Aphididae.